AUUUAGCCCAGAUUGUAGUGGAAAACAUUUUGAAAUACAAUUGUAUUUUUUCUUGGCAAAAAACAACGACCAAAGGAAGUUCGUUUUUUGACUUAGAAAAAAAUAAUUGUAUGAGAAAUUUUGUAACGAAAAGCUGGAAAUAGC
RNAcentral lists this small RNA (144 nucleotides) under Flavobacterium psychrophilum. RNAcentral's name for it is "Flavo-1 RNA". It matches the Rfam family "Flavo-1 RNA". Lineage: Bacteria; Pseudomonadati; Bacteroidota; Flavobacteriia; Flavobacteriales; Flavobacteriaceae. RNAcentral also lists the same sequence under 2 other names. The record is from RNAcentral.